GCGGCGGUGGUGGUGGAGGAGGUGCGUGUUAUACUUGUGGAAUGACGGGGCAUAUAGCUAGGGAUUGUGUUGGUGUUGGUGGUGGUGCUGGAAGUGGUGGAGGCGCAUGUUACACUUGUGGAAUGACAGGGCAUAUAGCUAGGGAUUGUGACCGUAGCGGUGGUGGCGGCGGCGGCGGUGCUGGAAGUGGUGGUUGUUACAAUUGUGGUGGACUUGGACACAUGGCUCGAGAUUGCCCUAGUGAGAGACGUGGCGGCGGUAGUGGUGCAGGUGGAGGUAGUGGGGCUUGUUAUAACUGUGGAUUGCCAGGGCACCUGGCAAGGGACUGUUCACGCGAGAGUGGCGGUGGUGACAGAUUUGGGAGAUCCAGUGGUGACAGGUUUGGGAGAUCUAGUGGCGGCGGAAGCAAGUGCUACAACUGUGGAGAAACUGGCCAUUUUGCAAGAGAAUGCACCAGCCCAGCUGUGAAGUGAGAAAAUCUUUAAGAGGAAGAGUUAUCAUGUACAUGAUCUUCUCUUUUUCUCUUGUCUUCCUAUUUAGGAGUAUUUAAUUAAUAUGGAUAAUACAGACUUGUUUCUUUUGUUACUUUUAGUUCUCCUACAUACAUGCAUUGGUAGCUUUUAGGAUAACAAAUUAGUUGUUGGAAUUUGCU
RNAcentral lists this unclassified non-coding RNA (652 nucleotides) under Hevea brasiliensis (rubber tree). The record is from RNAcentral. Lineage: Eukaryota; Viridiplantae; Streptophyta; Magnoliopsida; Malpighiales; Euphorbiaceae.